This is a non-coding RNA of Vicia faba (fava bean), 192 nucleotides long. The record is from the annotation of a GenBank genome assembly. Lineage: Eukaryota; Viridiplantae; Streptophyta; Magnoliopsida; Fabales; Fabaceae.
AUGAAUAAAUCAUUUCAAAUAAGCUUAAACUUGUUCCAUAAGACAAUAUUGAAGCAAUUCCAAUCUCAAUCACCUUCAAUCAGCAUUGAAAUAAUUCAAUCAAAAUUUAAGUCCUUCACCCUAAUUUCAAACUCUAAAAGCAGUCGAGUUUCACAGAAUAGAGGCACCUAUUUUUUGAAACCUGAAUUCUGA